UACGUAGGGUGCAAGCGUUAAUCGGAAUUACUGGGCGUAAAGCGUGCGCAGGCGGUGUUUUAAGUCAGUUGUGAAAUCCCCGGGCUCAACCUGGGAACUGCAUCUGUGACUGCAUCGCUGGAGUGCGGCAGAGGGGGAUGGAAUUCCGCGUGUAGCAGUGAAAUGCGUAGAUAUCGUUUGGAACGCCAAUGGUGAAAACAGACAGCUGGGAGUGUGCUGACGCUGAGACACGAAAGCCAGGGGGGCGAACGGG
Molecule: ribosomal RNA, 253 nt
Filed under: uncultured bacterium
Lineage: Bacteria
Description: partial 16S ribosomal RNA
Rfam family: Bacterial small subunit ribosomal RNA
Source: RNAcentral